This is a non-coding RNA of Xyrichtys novacula (pearly razorfish), 22261 nucleotides long. The record is from the annotation of a GenBank genome assembly. Lineage: Eukaryota; Metazoa; Chordata; Actinopteri; Labriformes; Labridae.
GGCUUGAGCGUCUUCCUGCUGCCACUGCUAAAAAUAACACGACUGCACUUUGAACUGGCACAUCUUACUGUAAAAAGAAAAGAGAGAAAAAAGAAACGAAAAAUCACAUGCAGUUCAGUCAUCAAAGUUAAUUAGAACUUUGUGUUGAACCGAUUAAAAAAUGUUCCUACUUUGAGUUUAGGCUUCACCCAGAGCUCAUCGUGCAGGUCCAGCAAAUCAGACUGAUGUCAGCAGGUCACUUUCACACCAAAGCAAAAGGCCCAUGAUUCAGAUUCCUGUCUCCAGAUGGAUUUCAACUUAAAACUGCCAUAGUGAUCAUUUUUAAUGGUCGCACCACACAAUAUUUCAUAAGGUGGACAUAGCUGGACUAAAUUCAUUUGAAUACUAUGAUCCAGGUAUAAAAAACAAAUCUGAAGAUUAAAACGCAACUACAAAACACCAAAAUUUUGCCACUGAACAAAAUCAAGUAAAUUAAAAAGAAGUUUUCAAAUAAAAUAUAUUUUUGCAUAUUAAGUAUCAGAAAAGUGGGUAGGUCUUUUUUUCAUUUAUUGAAACCUUUUUUAAUUGAAAGAAAUGCAGUUGGACAGAAAAUUCAGGCGUCAUGGCAACGACACAUAUACAUUACACUAUAUACUUUAAACAUCCUCUUCUCUUAAAGACUCAAGUCUCUCAUUCACAAGGAUGCUGCACAGCUUAGUUAGCUUGGUCUUUCAAGGGUUUAGGUCUUGGUUUUGAUCUGCACUGAACAGACCAAAUGUCUCUUGUCAGACUUGGUCAGCAGGACUCUUUCUCAAGGAACUAUGGGGUCAACUACUACUGAGUUUCCCUUUAUGAUCCAGUAUUUCUCUCAGAGCUGGGGGACCAUUUUUGGAUGUUUUCAGCUUGGAGGAUGGAAAUGUGAUCAUCUUUGGGUAAGAUUCUGGGGUGUUUAGUUUUAUCUAGGACUGCAGAUCUAUGAAGCCCACCUACUUUAUUGAUGCCGUCAUCUAGUAAAGGAUCAAGCCUACUGAUCUCACUCUUCUCUUUCAUCUUAGAGCGAUUGUCUCUCCAUGUAGGAGAUGACUGACCCUCCUGUCUGAGAGAUAUCCUCCACUGAAAGGAGCUGUCUACAUGGUGUGGUCCUGAAGGUGUCCAUUUCAGUGCUCAUCUUUUUAAAGGAUGAGCAGGUAGUUAUGUGACCUAAAUUGGGCUCUUUUCACUUUCUGACAAUCAACAUCAAAACUGUCUUUAGUCUCAGGUUCCAAGCCACUGAUUUGAGCAAUCUCAUGCAAUCUGAGAAGAAAGAAAUCAGCUGAUCUGGAGGGAUUACAGUGUUUUUUUUUCUACUGUGGUGAAUACAGAAGAGGUUUUUCAGACCUCUAGAUCAUCAGGUGACACUGUCUUGGAGCCCAAUGCUUUUUCUACAAGCCAACUAUUCUUCUGCCCCCAUUGAAACUCUUGGGCACCUGCUUGACUAAAUGAAUUUCACUGCGCUCAGCCCUCUGGAGGCAUCAUCAGCAGGAUUGUCUUCACAUAUCUCCACUGUGCAAGUCCUGUGUUGUCACGAAUCAUUGAUUCUCUGUAGGCUACAUGGGUUUUGAAUCAUGCCUGGUUAUUUUGCUAUAUAUUUUAGCACAGCCUGGCUGUCUGUCCUAAAGACUGAGGGUUUGAGCUUAAGUUUUCCUUUCCUCAGCAUGUUGUCUACCUUUUACUAAAAGAACUGCUGCAGUCAGCUCCUGUUGAGGAAUUGUGACAUGUUUUAGUAGAAGAACUCCGGACUCAUCCCCUGAAGAGGGGUGGCAAAAUUAAAAGGAAAAAUUAAUGCAAAUAGAAAUGAACUAAAAUGUGGCUUUGACAAUCUGUCUGAAAAAUGCUGGAGAUUCUUCAUCUUUGCCUUGGGCAAUGCAGGGCAGUUUUGUAAAGGUAGUAACUACACAGUACCGCAGUGAUUUUCAGUGAUGCCAAAACAAUGAAGGUUCAGAGGGGUUAUGAAGCAGAAAAGGGCCAAAGCCAUCAGUCAGUGCCCACCUCCUGAGACCAAAACAGGGACUACAUUGUAAGAACCUGGACUCAGAAGCAAAACCUCUUUGCUGCUGUAUUCUCCUUGAUCCCUCUUGUAAAAACCAUCCAUUACAAAACUGUCAGUUUCAAAGGACAGAGCUGUAACAUCAACACUCCUGGGGCUCCAGGCCACCAGACAAGGCACAGUCAGCUAGCUGCAAGGCUAAUAGUGGGGAUGCACCUUGGCACCACAUUGGUCCAAUUGUGACUCAAAUAGCUAGAUCACGUAUCUGUCACAAUCGACCAAAUCAUGGGGCUGAACUGUUUAAACGGAGCUCCUAAAGAACAGCAUGUACAGUAUGUCCUAUGUCGUGUGGCAUUAGCGUGCUAGUAGACUGAUGUAUUUUAUAGGAUAGAGCCAACAUAGCAUAGAGGGAGCUGUCAAUUUAGGCUUUCAAGUGGUGGUAAUGGUGGCGCAGCUGGAUAUAACAUAAUUAUGUCAAUCAGGCAUCACGCCAAAGACAACAAAAUGUUCAACCAAAUGAAGAGGCACACAGAAAUGCAAGAGGAGGGUAGUUUGAAAGCAUCAGAAGAAAAACCUCUAGAAGUCCAGUAUAAGGGAUUCUGCUGAUUGGAUUAUCCACAGUUUAUAGUGUACUCUAAUUUUUCUGUAAUCACUUUGUCUGAACUCCAUGAGAACAGGUGUGAGCUCUUAUCAGCAGGGUAAAAAAGUGUAACUGAGAUAUCCUCACAUCUUUCUAUUUAGAUAUGACAUUUUUAAUUGUUUCAUAUUAUUUUUUGUUUACCAAAAUAGCAACAUUCAAGAGACGAGAAAAUUAUUAAAAACGGAGACUGAAAGACCAAAUCUUUUAUACAGCAGAUUACAAAAGCACAACCCCAACCAAGAACUCAAGGCUUAAUAAGACUUAAUGUGAUAUAUACGAGCUGCUAAAUGGCACCCUCAGCCCCUUUCAUCUGAUAUUUAAUUUGAUUUUUAAACUAUAUUUUAUUCAGAUUUUAAAUUUCUAUCAAAGGACAAGUGAUAAUUCUCAUGCUGAGGACACAAAAGACCUUACUGUGCACAAAGUCGGAGCUUUGGAUGAUUUUGAAGAUUUUGGUCUGUUUUUUUUUUUUUUUUCAAAUUUAUCAUCUCAUCAUGUGAGAGGAAGUAGCAUUGUUGAUGUUGUGGUGAGCAGCUCAGUACUAAUCCGUUAACAGGUUAAUCUGGUGGACAACUGCAAUAACAGUACAACACUACUAACUACUACCAUGAAAGAGACCACAGUACUUAAAUACUGUAGUACUAACAAACUACUGUGUAAAAUGUAUGAUUUAAUUUUCAGGUAGUGUUGUAGGAAAUUUGAUUUGUAUAGUUUUUCAGAGAUAUUGAAAAACCAGAAACAGGACUAGAAAUGAAUAGUGAAAAGAGCACUGAUCAGUUUGACCCGUGCAAGUAGGCUUGAACAAGAAAGACUUAAUCUACAAGAGAAUAGAUAUGGCAAGAGGGGAUGAAAAUAUGAAGACAUGAAUUAAGUUCUCUCAAGUUUUCUUUAUUUUUAGAGUCAAAUUUUGAGAUCUGAAAAAUGCUAAUUGAUGGUCUACACCCACAGGAUCAGCUCUAUAAGUCCGUACUCAAGGCAAAGUUAGGGCCCGUGUCCAUUUUUUCCUCAGUUGGUGUUACCUAUCAUCUAUUUAAAACCAAAUACAAUUCUGCCUUUUAUAUUUUCAUUUUUAAAUUGAAUUUCCCUCGGAGGAUCGAUAAAGUUCCUCUUAUCUUUCAACAUCCCAACCCCCAAAUGCCCUCAGCACCAGCAGUUUUCUGUCACUGUGCUCACAGUUCAGUCCAGCAGUCGGGCGCCCUUAAUGUGGAUCUUUCCAUGUCUCAUGAGAGUCACAUUCACAGCAGCAUUGCCUCUAGUUUAGGCCUGCAGCACUGCAUGCUCUUCAGGUCCAUGGGUCCCAUUAAGCAGAGCAUGUAACACAAAUUAUAUGUGAGAAAGUCAGAUGGAAUGAGCUGAAGAUAUAUCAAUUUUGUACACAACAAGGAUUUUUAAUAGAUUAUAUUCUGUAAAUACAAUAUGGGAAAUUCAAGCAUCAGAUUGGGUGUCUGUAUUGGCAGCAGGGAUCAGGAUAGAGGCCAACAAAGCUUAAACCUCAGACUUAACAAUCUCUGCAAAGGUAAACAUCAGCAUUAACAACCCUGCAACAGUAAAAGCUGGUUGAAAAGGCUUGUAAAUUGAAGUUGCAAGUGCUGCCAGUGCAAAAAGAAAUGCUAUAAGUGGACAACAGCCUGCUGGCAGUGCUUGAGGAAAAGAAGGUGUAUAACCCAAACCAGUAUGCUUCACUAGUGAGUGUAAUUGUCUUAUAGGUUUAAAGAUACAUAGAAGUGUGGGUAGAUGUGUAAAUCAGCCUGGCAGUGUUUUGUUACAAGAAGAAUCUCUGGAGCCAGAAAUCUCUCAGGGGCCACACUGUUGCAGCCGCAAACACUUACACAAACACACACACACACAAACACAACAGCCAAAAAACAAUUCUAUUUGCCUUCCCCCAGACACGGCUUCCUCUGCCGCAGCAUUAAAGGAGAGAGAUUAUUUCCUCUUUUUCCUGGGAAAUGGAUUUUAUAUCAGCUGUGUGUUUGUAAAUCAGACCUCCAUUUCCAAGAAAAGCAGGGGGUAUUACUCUUAUCUCCCUGACUGUAUUUGUUAAAGCUCAACAAUAUAGGUUACAACUUCUCAGAUUUCCCACCUGCCUGCCGAGGAUACAUGCUUUUUCCUGCUCUAGCCGGUGGAAUAAAUCAAUUACAGUGCAGAAGAAACAUGAAGACACCAUGUCCCUGGCCACUUUUGAAAAUAUAUAUUUUUUAUAAACUUUGUUCCCAGAUCUCGCUGUGAUUGGGUAUAUUUCUUUGAACCAUAUCUUCUAAGAGUAAGUUAACGAAUACAGUAUAUCAUUUGCAUAUAGACAGACAAGUGACUGGGGGAUAUCCAGAUCAAUCUGUUGACUACGCUGACUGAAUUAAGUUCAAUUUUGCAUGCUUUUUCUCGCCAUGCAGAGUUUCGCAAAGCUGAUCCCAGCUGGUUGAUAAUAUAGGAGAUGUGGCGUAAAAAGAUCCUCGACUGCUCAAACUUUGCUUCCCCCCCGAUUACUUCCCACACAUACCCACAGGGAGCCGAGCCACCAUAAAAGUUUUCUGCAGAUUAUCAUAGUCAUAUUCUAUACUGAUAAAAGUGGAGAAGGAAACUCAGAGAGAAACUAAUCACGGUGAGAAAUCGAUGAAGAUGACGAAGGCUACGUUCGUCUGAUUGAAAUCUACAGGGUUUGAGUCAUUUAUGAGAUCUGCAAAACCAAAUGUGAUUACCCAUACCUCCCUGGACCUCCCUCCCUCGUACUCCCCUACUCCUCCUCUCUUUUCAUUCUUCAGUGGAUCUGUCACUCAGGCCUGAAAUAUUCAUGGCCGCCUCUGAAAAAUGAAUGCAUCUGCCGAAAGGAGCAGAAGUUGAAGAGAGAGAAGUUAGUCGUUUCGCAAGACACUCUCUCAUGAUGAAAGCGGCGGAGGGCUUUGAGUCAAGUCGUUGCUUCAGGAGACGUGGGUGAAGUGACUACAUGCGGCAGCGGCAAUUGUGUUUGUCCUUGUGUACAUUGAAAAGAUGCAUGUGAUGGUUGGAGAAAAUGAAUGGUAAUGUUCUGCUGUUUUUUGUAAGGGAGGCUGAGUCUCUCAGAGAGUGAAUGAAUGAAUGAAUGAGAGCUAUAAAGAUAUGCUGCAAGUGUUUUCCUAUUAUAGAAAUAAGAGGGAGACGAUGUGAGGCACAUGUUUACCAUACACAAACACACAACAAAAGGAGAGAGGGUGUGUUUUGCGAUCGCUGUAUUGUCGCAAGUAAACAAAAAUAAAACUUCAUCAUCAGGGUCUCUUUGCCACCAUCGCUGUAACCCCCUGUUGUCUCUGACUCCCUCUCUCUCGCUCUCUCUCUCUUUGGCUGAUCUUUCUAUUUAAUUGGCUGCAGAGUUUCUCAGCUCUCAGUCUCCACAAAGUACAUUUUGUAUUGAUUCUCUUUCUUUGGCUUCACAGACUUUGCUUCCCAUAGUUAUCCAAUCUACUCAACUGCUGGUGUCUCUAUCAGUGGGCCUCACACACACACACACACACACACACCUUCACAUACACUCCUCUUUUUGAAACCAAGAUCAAAACCAACUUCAUCCGAAUUACUGUGAUGGAGGAUGAAGUUGUAAUAUUACUCUUGAAUCAAGUACACUCAAAGAGAAAAUGCAUUUAUGAUAAUAAACUCAUAGAUAAUUGAGAUUAAAGUUGUUAUGUAUGAGAAAAAAAUCACAAGAAUAAAGUUAUUCAUUAAUAAAAUACAACUUGGAAAUGAAGAUUUAAGUUGAGGAAAUAAGUUGAUUUAUUGCUUACAGGCUAUGUUUGAUUGAUCUGUGAAGUUAUACGGGGUUAUUAGAGGAGCUGACCAUCUGCAGUAAAAGCAGGAACACAUUUCAUUUUGUGAAGUUAUACUGAGAGCAAACAGCAGUUUUACAAGCAUGCACAGGUGACUGGUUUGCACUGUCAUGAUUUUUAAGACUGUGUGAUGCUGGUGUACAAAAAAAUUAAAUAUUACACCAUCUAUGAAACAAAAACUUAAGUAUUCACUAAAAGUGAGGUGGCUUACUUAUUUUAAGACCUUUGCCUUCAAAAUAACCCAGAAGCUAACCAUUUAACAAAAUGAUUACUUUGACUUGAUAGUUCAUGACUUUUACUCUCAUGGAAGAACACCUUUAUUUCCUGUAAAUCUGUGACUUAAUCUUUAAAUUUCUUUUCUUUUACUCCUACUAGAGGCUCUGAAACUGUUAAAUUCUUAUUUAUUUCAAUUUUAGGAUCUUUUAUUGUCUUUGUGUACAAACGGUGGAUUGAGAGGUUAAUAAACUGUUUGAACUGAAGUGAAUUGACAGAAAUGGCAAAAUGUUCUAUCAACACAAAACUUACAUUCACAUUCAUUUCUGUCGAAUAAAACCCCCCAAAUCCUCUGCUUUUAUUCAGUCCAAUAAAGUUUAAUUUCAUAGCUCAAUCAAACGAAUAGGUGUGUAACUUGUGUCAGACUUCACCUAAAAGUUAAGUAGCGAGAUUAAAGGACAAUUACAUUAUACCGUUUCUCUUGUUCUGGAGCCAAAAGUCAUAAUUAUGCUUCCACACCCUCCGCAUUUCCACUAAAUCUGAUAUAAUAAUAUCUCACAUUUUUAAAAUCCAGUUUAUCUUGUGUCCUACGUGAUAAUCUACUCUUCUCUCAGGCUGCUUUUUAAAAGGAAUGUAUAGUUAUAGAUAUGAAUGCGCAGAAAUUACACCAUGAGUCUAAUAUUCCAGACAGGUCUAACCAGGACAGACUUUCUGCAGUGGAGAAAAUGGUUGUCUAGGCCACUGGUCCUUGAAGGAACCCAUUUUCUACAUAGUAUCAGCGCUAUAGGAGUCUAUCAUAGAUCUUAUAUUAUCAGUGUUGAGGGUAACGCACAACAAAGUAACAGAUUACAGUUAUGAUAUUACUUUUGGGGGGUAACAAAGUAAAGUAAAGCACUCACUAAAAAAAUCUGUAACUUAAUUACUUUAUUAAACAAUAGGAACGUGCCUUUCUGUGUUACAUCAGCUGUGUUUCCCUGUGUGCAAAGUGCUGAUCUGUUGAAGUGGUUCGUCUGACAAUAGGCAGGGGUUUGGUGCUCAUAAGGAUCAAUUUCCCCCGUUUUUUUUUUCUUGAUAUUGAGCCUUCGGACCAUUGUCCAGCUUAUCUCUGUACACUCUGACAGUCUUUUCUUUUGUGGGAUUUAAUUUUUCUUGGGUGUUUUUUUUUCUCACUGUGUCGCUAUCUCCCAGCCUCCUUGUCGAAUGUUGAAACAAAAAGUUGCCCGCAAAGAUUGGCGCUUUCCGACCCAACAUGCAUUGCGCAAUCAUGUGGCCUUUGAAAGUCCUAUGGAGAGAUUGAUUUGAGUGAUGUAGCUCCUGGUGCAAAAGAGAGAUGGAAAUGGAGAGUAUAAAUUCAUACAAUAAACAAAACAAUGCAGACUAUGCUCAGUGAGGAUUGGGAUAUGAUGUUUGUCCACGUACCUCUACACGGUAACGUAAGAAAUGGGAAAUUAAAGUAAUAAGUAGUGAAGUUACUUUUCAAAUGCAGUGACUAGUUAAGUAAUCUCAUUACAAUUUACAGAAGUAACUAGUUACUAGUAACAAAUUACUUUUAAUGAGUAACUACCCCAACACUGUAUAUUAUAGUGUUUCUGUUCCACAUCUGUUUAUAUUCAGGGAACAGAAACACGUGUCUAACACCUUAAUACAAUCUGAUUUUCCAAGAAGUCUGUCAAUCAAGUCUCACACAGUCUCCUUGUGUACCAACCUCAUGUCUGGAACAACAUGUCAGGAAUGAUUCUGAUGCUGUUUAUGAACACACGCUGAAACACACCUGCGGUUGUAUGGGUCGUCCCACAGGUAGCUAAUACAGAAUAACAUUGUUUCCAGCACACAGGGCUAUUAAUCAUGGAUGAACUCCUGCAUUACUGACAAAUCAGCCUAAUCUCACAGGGGAGGUGUGGGAGUGUAUGUACACACCCAGACACACGCAAACACACAAAAGAGGGUCUGGACUUGUGCACGUUCAUACACACAUGCAUUUAAUAGGUCUUAUCUCACAGGAAAGUGCAUGCUCUGACUGGCAAACAGAGAAUUAAUGCAGAGCAGGGGGCUCUCUCCUCUCCUCUCCCUUCUCCCGUCUCAGUCUUUACUUAUCUGUCCCUCUCAUGUCCUUCUCUUCCCCUCUCAUUUUCAAAUUUGCUUUUUUUGUCUUGUCAAAAACAACAAAGCAAAACAGCUACACCAAGUCUGUAGACAGACUUCUGAGAGAUGUGCAGCUGAGCCAGCCGACAACACUUGUUUUUUUUUUCUUUUCUUUUUUUUUCCAUAUUAUUAUUUCAGAAUUUCAAUUCAGGGGUCAGGAUAACAAAAAAAGAAAAAGAAAAUCUGGUGUUUCAUUAUUCAUACACACGUAAACACAUCAAUAUGCACAAACACUCUUAAUAACUAAGCAGGUAAGGGCACAAACAUACGAGAUAAAGGGGUUUCUCCGAUGCAGGGUAAUAUGGAUCUUUGUUUGUGUAUGAGUGUGUGCAUGGUCAAGAGAGGGGAAAUUAAGAUAGAGGUCUGUAUAGAUAGAAAACCUGUUUGGUUAAAUAAAUAAAAUGGUGCAGGCUGAAGAAAAAAACACUACUGAGGCUGAGAGAGUAGAGGGAGAGUCAGCAGUAAGUGCUGAAGGGUAAACUUAUCUACAUUCAUGUUGGCAUGUGUGCAUGGAAACACUUGUACAUAUAUGCCAUUGGGUAUGCAUUCAUGAAUCACAAGCAGCCCUUUGGCUUUUAAAGCCUCCUUCAUAUGUAUCUUAAACACUCGCAUAUCUCACAGCCCUGUUGGAACACACAAUGGCAGAGUAUCCCCUUAACGCCCACCUCUGUUCCUUUCCCUUUUCCCCUGGCCCUCUGGACUGGCUGCUUUGUACCCUGACAGAUAUACAGCUCUUGGCUGCCCUACAGGACUCUGGGGAAAUGAGAUACAAAUGCCACAAUAUCUGCGGUAUCACUGCUCCAAACCGAUGCUGUAGCCCCUGGCAAUAAAACAGCAGCCGGGACACUGGUUUUGCAAAACAACAACAACACAAUACAUGACUAACUGAGACCAUUCCUAACACACAGGACCAUCUUAAAACUAACUCCAAAAUUUGAAGGUGCUGUAGGGGGUUGGAAACAUGCAAUCUGCUACAAUUGGUACCUUUGUAUGUACCACUUAGUGUGACGUGUGAACAGAUUUGAAACUUAAAACAUCUGAGCUUUCUCUGUCUUUGCUGCCUCUAACAGUCUGUAGACUUAUGGCUGUGGAAAUAACUUUUUCAGAGAAAUUCAGAGAAUCAAAUGUUUACAAGUAUCUCAUAAAAAUACGACCUAAGCCAAUGGGAUAGCAAUUAAUUUUCGAUCCAUACAGCAAAGCUUACUCAGAGCUGGCUGGCUACAUUUAGCUGCGCUGUUUCCUUCCUGAAUUACUUCACCUCUGACAUGAUUCAGGAUAGCUACAUGUAUCAGGAGGAAAAAAACAGUUUUAGCCAACUAUACAUGCAGGUAAAAGACAUAGUUUUCAGAUGGAAGGCAUGCAAGAGAUAUAAACUCUAAUAAUAAACUAAUACUUACAAAAGACAAUGAAAAGAACUAGUAAAAAUGAGAGAAUGACUGAUUGAUAGAGAUGUAACUUCUAAGUGGCACCAUUAAUUAUUCCAAAUCUGGAUUUUCAUCUCCAUUACAAUGAGAGUAUCUGCCUGAAAGUCUGCUGCAACCAGUGACAUGAUUUCCUUAAGAUGAUUGAAAGAAGCCAGCUGUGGCUGUGACUCAUGGUCAGAGCGGCGUCUGUAUCCUGUAACUCUCGACUGUGUUACCGUAAAUCCCGUCUUUUUGUAGCCCAGCAGAAGAGCAGUUAUGUAAUGAUGAACACAUUUUUGACUUUUUUCUGACUAAUUAUGUUGUUCAGAUGUGUUAUUCAAACAUGCAGUGACUCAUUAAGAUUUUUUUCUUUCCCAGACAUUCUGGCUGCAGACAUCUGCAGGGAGGACCAGAGCGGACCAGAAGUUGAUUUAAAGUCAUUCAAAUUAAAAGGGAUUACACCGGGAAGUACGUACUUUUUGUCUUGUGUGACUAUAACUUUUUUCUUGUAGCUUUAUUUUAAGGAUAUAAUGUUAAUACGAUUUUUUUGUAUAUUCAUGUGAUCAGCAAAGACAAAAUACAAAAUGGAAUGACUCCUUCAAACCGACUGGGGCACUUGAGAAAAGACGUCACCUCGGGUCCUCUGAGUGGAGGUCGGCCCUGAUAGUGACGGUGGGUCCUGACAGUGAAGGUAAGUCCUGACAGUGGAGGUCUGCAGCCAGACCCCUCUUGUUCUUUCUGCUUAUGCACAGACAUGAGUUGGGUAUUGCAAUGCCAGAUUAUAUGAGGAGUUUGUAGAUGAUUUUAUAUGCAAAAAUCAUAUUUUGAUAACACUGCGUCUACAAAAAAAAAACCCAAAUAAAAUACAUGGGUUUUAAUUCUAAGGUCGUAUUGCCCACUUCUUUACAUUACAGUUCUGGCCCGUGCUCAGUAACAGGACACUGAUUGUUGUCUAUUCACCUGCAUUCUGUGUCUUACAAGUACCAUUACCUGUAACUCUACUUAUUAUCUUUUUAACCUGGUAAAAUGCAGAGUAAUUCCUCUGAUCGCGAGACUGUACUCUAAAUUAAAUUCCUAUUUGCAUUUAAGAGCUUAAGCUCAUGAGCCAUUACAAAUGCAGGGCAUGUCUUCUUUUCUUUGCUUGUCAUGUGGUGUAAAUAGGCGUUUAAUCUCUGAGCCACACAUGGAAGAAGCACCAGUGUUCUUACACUACUGUAUAUCUAACACAGUGUAUCUAUGUGUCCUUUAAUUUGCCUGGCUAAUGCAGCACUCUAGCAUAGUGAUAAGAGAGUGUAAUCUUCUUAGGUGUGGCGAAAGCUUAAUCAAUAUUAACAUAUUCCUCAGCUCCCUCUCCAUUGAAUAAUUGAUAUCCCCACACAGUCUUGCUGAGAAUGAAAUAAGAUGUAGGAGUAUUAAAAUAACUUCCCCGAGAUAAAAGAAAAUUGAUUAAAAAAAGAUGGCUGAAAAUUAAAGAGAAGGGAAGGAGCCUAAGGGAUUGGGCUUUGCAUACAAAUGAAGAAAAAAGGGGUUGGAGGGAAGGUGGAGAAAAAAGGAACUUUAGGGAACUUAUGAGCUCAUUUAUCUAACUCCAGUCAUUGCACACUCGACCGGCUGGGUUUUUACUGAACCAAUCAAAGCGGUUAAUCUGAGGGAUCCACUGUAGCUUCUCCAAUCCCUGACCUCCUUGUAGAACAUGGCGUUAUUAAUCAAUGAUUGCUCAUCUGUAAUUUCCACAUGAUUACCUCUUCAUUUAAACUCCUGGCAGCAAAAAUCCCAGAGUUCACCUGACGGGUUACCUUCCUGUUCCCAACUCUUAGCAUCCUAAGCAUUUUUCAGGCCUAACAGAGUGUGCCUUCAGGCUCUGGCCAACCUAGGCAAUAACUCCCCAUGAAGAAUGAUAAUGAGAAUUAAAUGAAGUUUUCUCAACUUAUGUCCAUAAGGUCCUUUCAGUUCAACUGCUGUAUUUAAAGUUUUAACUCGCGCUAAGUAGAAAUUGCUUAAUCACCUGAAGUGAAAGAAAAAGAAAUAAAACAAUGCAUUGAAGUCCUUUGCUUUGGGACUAUAAGCUGAUCCCUCAUAGCUGUAGGGACGACACAGAGCAGGGUUUUAAAAAUAGAUGCAGUGAGAGGAUGGGGGUUAAGAGGACUCAUGCGUUUGGACCACCUUGGUGUUAUCAGAUCACUGCUGACACCUCACCUGGCAACCCCAGGGCUUUAACGCAGAGGCAGACAGCCGCGAGUGACUUUGUGUUUGUGUGACUGUGUGGAGAAAAAAAAUAUGGAAAGUUCAGCAGACAAAGACAAAGACAAACUCAGGCUUUCUCAAGGUUGAAGCACUUAUAUAGGAGAUAUAUAGAGGACGCAUGUUUGUGGGGUGUUGAACGGCAUGUGUGACAGCUGUGUUCAAUCAGCGAGGGGAAAGCUGAAGGGUGAAAAUGAGAUGUCAAGCAGAUGAAGAUGAGACCAAUACGGAACAAAGAUACUUGACAUACAUACACAGGAGGUAAACAGCAUUGCUCUGUACGCCCUCUAUAGAAAAUAAUUACAUGUCUAAUAUGACAGCAUGUAGGGGCUAACAGUACAAGUGGUGAUUGGGGAAAUAUGCGGAUGCAUGACGGCGCACCUUGUCUGUCUCUUAUACAUGUAAGUGUGUGUGAGUGUUUGUGUCUUCUUCAUUCAGAACUGUAUCAGAUCCCCUCCAUCUCCAUUUGACAGGCAACCGACGAGAUAGCGGCUCAGAUCAAUGUCUUCGAUUUAUGCACACUGACACUUACUAACACACUCACACACCUAUCCUUCUUGAUUUACCGCCGGCUUUUAAUUUUUUUUUUUUUUUUUGGAAAGAAAAACCCCCCAAUUAAACUCACAGCUAAAUCAGCCAUCUGUCAAAAUUACUAGUCCAAGGUUUCAGUCUUAACAUCUCUUUUGAUUGUUGAAAGCUCUGGUAGUAUGAAGCCGUGAAGAUAACUUAUGACAAGGCAAUAAAAGAGACUAAAAUCUUAUUUAUAGCUUGUUUUAUUGUCAGCCUUUCUGCGUCGGCUGUUAAGAUUUUUUAAUCCGUGAGGGUAAAGGCGAAUUGCAGCCGUAUGUGCCUCCAUCUCAUGCCUCUGACUAAUCAAACUGUAGCCUGUUAACUGUCUCCUCUAAUUAUACUGCAUCAACACCCAGACUGACAUUUCUGUCCGCCUGUCUGAGGCUCCCCUUGUGCUGCAUUGUGAGCCUUGAUAGGGAGGGGAAUAGACAACUGUUAGAUACUUUUGCAAGUAGAAUUAAUUGUAUUUCUUAUUUUUCCGUCAGCCUCUAUUUGAUUAAACUAUGGCUAAAUUUGUGAACACUGUAUCUGAAGAAAUAUUUCUAUCUUGUUUUCUUUUUUUUCACUCCGUCUGUACCCUUUAGCUUUCUGCUCUAUUUUCUCGCUCUUGUUUUAAUCUCAUCUCUACUAGUCUGGGCUCCUGUCAGCUGAAACAAAUAGCUGUGUCCCAAACAAGCAGAGCACUGGGCAGGUGUCAGUCAGGCUGUGGAGCGCAGAAAUUGAUCACGGUCAGGCACAGAGUCAAUACAAACUAAAAUAACAGGCUCUUUCAUCUGCAGUACACAGGCAUGUGAUGUGCAUGCAACCCAUUGGUUAUACAUUUUUCUGCCUGGCACUGAAUCUUCUAAGUAUGACCACAUUCUUUGACAUCUUGCAUCUGUAUAAAUGGGAAAUCUGCUGGGUCACCUACAUUGUAACCUGUUUCAGAUAAACUAAAUAAGUGUUUUUGCUUUCUAUUCAAGGUCUCAAAGGCAAAUUCUGUUCACCACUGAUCUGCAGUUGCACAGGUGCUGCCCUCACUUUGAGUAAAUGAUGGGAAUAAUUGAAUGUGAUCCAGAGCAUUAUUUUCAAUUAGUGCAUGUUUAUGAGUUAGUUAAAACACAGUCUGAUUUUUCCUAUCACCAUCGUAAUUGUACAUGGUUGUUUCGUUUCUCUUUUCUGGGCAAUUUAUCUGAAAUAGUGGACUCUUGUUUCAGAGUCUUGAUCUUUAAACACAAAUAUAUAUGCACAACAGUAGUAUUUAUCUGUAAAGCAGACUGACGCCACUCACAACUGCAGUGCCAGGGGGAUGAAGUACAGAGAGUAACAGGGAUCAGCAGCGGCAAAGUAGGCCAAGUUGACCAAGAGUUAGAUGGAGUUUAAAUGCUGAUUUUGAGAUAAUGGUUAUAAAUGCACCAGAGUGAUUAAAGAAACAAACAGUUAAUCAGUCAAGAAAUUUGGUGUCUUAGACUGUCAAGUGGAAAGUCUGUCAAAACCGUAGACUUCAUAUAGAAAAGACAGAGUCUGCCUCCUCACUGGGUAAAGCCACUCAGAGAACAGCACCCUCUAGUGACGGGCUGCAGUAUAGGUCAUAAAUCCCGCCUCCUCCAGCAAUUCUUAUGGAGCUGUGGACAAACUUUAGAGACUAAUUACAAGGAAUAUACAUUUUCUCUCCCCUGUAUGAUUGACUCUUGAUACAGCCUAUGGGCGUACGAAGAAGGUAGCUCACCCGGGGGAUACGCUGUUUAAGCAGAGUGUCAUCACAGCGACUCUCGGCAACUCUUCUGCCAUGUACUACACUACUGCGCCAGUGGUGGUUCCAGGAAGUGGAGAAAAUUCUGGAAAUGCCAAGGAAUUCAGCUUCAAAUUUGUUUAAUGAUGGAAGCGCAGCCAACAGUCUAUGAUCAAAACGCUCUCAGGUCCUCACAACAGCUGUUUCUGGGGGAUUGGUAGAAGGAUGUGUGAGAUGGAAGGUAUGCCAAGGUUCCUUAACCUGGUUGAGGGUUUUGGAGUCGCCAUAGAGGCUGCAUAUGUUUGUGCUUUUGUUUUUAAGAUGGUCAGCAUUAUGGUUCAUCAACUGCAGGUCAUUUUAAUUUUAAGUAUUCUGUGAUGGACUGGCUGCCUGUCCAGGAUAUAUGCUGCCUUUUAACAACUGUCAGCUGGGAUAGGCUCCAAGAAGGCUAACCAAAGUAAUCGAAGUAACUUAUUUCAUAUAUUUUCACUUUCAAUCAAUAAGCCACAUUCAUGAUGAUUCCUUUGCUGUGACAGGUAGUGGUGAUAAUCAAUCUUUGCACUCAGCUCGCCGCCUCAGAAAACACCUGUUAGUGCUCCAGCAGUUAUUAAAUCUGAAUUUUUGAUGCAUUGUUUCACCCUGUCAAGAAAUAAGAAAGCAGAAAAUGCUGUGGGCAAACAAAAAUUAUUUGCAUCUAGGGAUGAGGAUGAAAACCCAGUUCUGCAGUUUUGAAACCCAAGAAUCAAUAUUGUUUCAACUUAUCAAUACUUCUAUUAAGUCUCAGAGGUCCCACAUUAUGCCUUGGAUGGAGCCACAUUUAAAUCAGACCACUGGUGCACAAACUCCCAUUCAUUGUCUAAUAAAGUGUCUGAAUAAAUUUGAUUCCCAGCCAACAGGUCAGCUGUUUCAGUUUGCUGCUCCAGUUGCUUUAGAGGAUAGCAGAACGUGUCAGGAAGUCUAAAAUUUGGCUGAAUACCUUCAGCUGUCUUCAGGUUGAAAAAACUCAGAUUAGACUCACUGGUGCUGCUGCAUUUUCAAUUUAACUUUUGUCAAUUAUAUAUAAGUAAUGUGUCUUGUUGACAUGUCGUAUUCAUAAUUAAUAAAGGAGAUGAGUAAUAUAUCUCUUACAGAGCUCCAGAAGUUGCAGUCAGCAGCCAAACGCACAAGAUGAACGACUUCUCAACUAAUUUGUUGUCAAUAAGUUUAAUAAUAAUUUCAGAGUCAUACACUAUUGUUUUCAUGACCAUUAAUUUUGAUGAAAUGUUUCACUGGUGUCCACACAACUGAUCAAGACGGCGCAAAAUUAAUCAAAACGAAAUUAAAAAAGUUGAGGCGAGACUUUGGGUGCGCUGAUUGAAGAAACUUUCUCAUGUUGCAGGGAGAGGGGCAGCUCAACAGUCAGAAAAUGAUAAACAAGAAGAAAGUUAAUUUUCUGAAGCACCACCAUCUGCAGGAUUGUUUACAGCCCUGCCAAGUAGUAAGACCCUUCUCAAGGAAAAUAAGCUUUCAGAAAAACGUCAACUGAAUAAAAAAGGGGGGAUUUAUUAGACAGAGGAAACCGACCAAAGGCACAAACUACUUUAAAUUUCACACUGCUUCAUUAUGGUUUGAGAUGGAUGUGACAAGAGGUUGCCCAAAUUAUCGAUCGGACACUAUAACCUCCCCUGACUUGUGCAAUGAAAGAUUUUUACAAUUUGAUUCACAGCUUUACUACUUCAUGAAUCCUGGUCUUGGUGCUAAAUCUUGAUUUUUUUCAAGUGCAUUUAAUAAUCUUAGAUGGACAAACAAGACAUACAAGAGUCUAUGUGAGCAGAUCUGCAUUUAAGGAGCAAGUCCUAAAGUCCAACUCCGAUCAUUUUUUAAUUUUUUAAUUUAUUUUUUGUUUAAUUUUACAACUUAAAGUGUUACCAGUGGUCUUUAUUGUGAUUAUGAAGUUUUAAGCCAAAAUCGCAUUACCUUCGUCAUUUUUGAGGGCUUUUCUUCUGCAGUCGUGGGCAGAGACAGCGCUGCUCUGCACACUCCUCUUCAUGCUAGCUUGAAGCCUAACAUUGCUGGUGUAGUAGAAGAAGCAGGUAACAUAGGAGCUAUUCAGCUCUCAGACACUAAUGUCUUUGAGGGCAGGAUGAAAGUUAAUAUCAUAAUUAGCUUUUUUUGCAUUGCAAUCCGCUAACGCACACGCUUGUCCCGCGAUUGUCCUCUCUAUUUUUGUGAGUCUGACCUGCAUAGCGGGGCUCCGGGGGCGGAGCUUGGAAUUCUGAUGUAGGAAAUCUCACUGUUUCUGAACCUGCCAUUGGGUCUGGCAGAGAUUCACAGCAAUAUGAAUGCAGAAAUGCUCAGAAAUGCAAUUUCGCACUUAUUUUUCACAUGAUAUGUCCUGUAGCAUCAGAAAAAUGCCAUACGGACAUAUUAAAAAAAACAAGAAAAACAUGAUCAGAGUGGGUCUUUAAAUUGGACCAAUUUCUUUAAAUACAUAACACUGUUGUGCCUCUGACCUACAGUAGUAAACGUGAAAACAGCAUGAGAAAUGCCGGCUGUCUAAUAUGCACUUUUUUGGUUUACAGAUAUUUAAUCUAGCUGCAUCUAUUUUCUACCUCCUGUUAGUUGACAUGCAUUGGAGCUGACUUCUUCCAUUAACAUUCAGGAAAAAAAACAUGAAAAGAGAACAUCCUCUAUCUCAUCGAGUCCAUCAGAGGAAUAAGAGAGAUGCACAGACAGAGGCGGAAAUGUUUGAAAGCCUACGAAACACCAAUACAAACUAUUUCCAUGCUUCGACCCCAUACCAUCAUCUUCAACGUCACUCACUGCCCACCCCACGCAUGCACUAAAACAUUUAUACCCCCAUGCCUGUCUGCUGAUGGUUCUGCCUUUGAAUUAUUCACCACUGGAAAUGCAGGAACAAUCUAAUUGAAAGAGAAGAGAAAUCCAGUGGAGACAAAACUCUGCUCUUUCCCCACAUGAUAAAUGCCGUACAGUUGACGUGGUCAGACUCAGCUGCUGUCGUCUCUGUUAUUUUGUAUUCUCACAGCUCGCCGUCUGCAGCUGUCUGCAAUUAACACAACGUUAAUGACUUCUCCUCUGUGACUAACAUAUCCUUAAAUUUAUAGUUUCACAAAGUAUGCGUCUGCUAUAUUGGCUGUUUGUAUCACCAACACAAUCUGAAGCCAUACGCAGGAAAUGUUUUCCAAUACACGGUUAACAUCUGGCCAAUUAACACUGGUGUCCUUUAAAAGAUAACGUAGGAGAUGUAUUGAUCCUAAUUCUCACACCUCAGUGGGUGACUUCAAGGUCUUGUUAUUUGAAGAUGGAAGAAGUGAAGUGGAAGACAGGUUUCUUUGAAAAAUCUCACAUAGCUUACAUGAACUUCUCCUUGACUUAUGAGGACGUGUGAUUUUCUUUCUUGACUUAAUUUUAUUUACAGUUUUACUUUAUUUUAAUUUAUAUCUUUAUGGCAGAAAGGAAGUUUCCCCUCAAGAGAAUCCUGUAGAAAACACAGAAAAAGGCACUUUGUUGCAGAAAGGUUUAUAUGUGGAAGAUUGUUUUUAUUCAGCUAAAAUAAAAAGGCAAACAAAAUUGGGUUUUAUACAAACUUUUUAUUAGUGUCAUUUCCAUCAAAAUCCCUUCAAACUAUCAUAACAGUAAAAAAAUGUAAUGGACAAAAAUACAGAAGUUUUAGCAGAUAGAAAACGAAACCUUACAUAAUUUUAAACAUAAGAGGAACCAGUUUCAGGUAUCUGUUAUUAUUAAGCUAAUAUAUUAAGAGAUCCACAAAUGCAUACACAGAAUAUUACACUAAAUACACCGUGCAAAGCUAGAUAUCCAGGAUGUGUUGGGAUGCAGCAGGCUAGUAGCAUCCUUUUUAAUGAACUAUUGAGCCACAGUGAGUUUGAACUUUGAACAAACUCUCCAUACGUGUGUUUGUGAAUAUUGAUGCAAAGAACUACGUGUACUUGUAGAUUUUGCACUGCAGAGUUUGAGCAAAAGAUACAUGUAGACAUAUUCAGUUGUAACUUGUCUUACUGGGCCAAAAAGAUGCUGUCCUAUUGAGAAAGCCAUCACAAAGAGUUAAGUGCACCAGAAAUCGCACGGCAGAGUGAAAAGCUGCAAAUUUGUCUACAUGCAUGCCUAAUCUGUGAACUUCUUGAGAACACAGUUUAGGAUCUGUACACGUUUGUGGAUCUAAAAACACAUUUGUAGGUUUCUGUGGAUUUAGUUGUGAAACUGUCUGCAAAUUUGUGGAUCUGAAACUCUGAAAAUGCUUUUGUUGUAUUGAGCACACAUUUGUAAAUCUCUAUUUGCAUUUGCAGCCGUAUAUAAUCCGUCAAACAAGAACAUUUUGAUUGGGAUUUAAUCGUGCAGAACUUAGAUGGAGAAACAACACAAUUUCAAGGGGGGGAAAAACAUACGUUUCGACGUGCUUUAAAACAUCGAACAUUUUUAAAGCAAAAUCAAAAUGCUUAGACCACAUUCCAGAUAAAAAAAAAAUAAAAGUAACAACAGUUUGCACACUCUGCAGGAUAAAUAUUGGCUGGGGACAUCACUGCUGUGUGCCUGAUGAUGAGAUUCCCUGCAAAAAGAAAAAAAAAAAUCCUGCGUACACUGUACUGCACGUGUACACGCUCACACAGUUACACACACAUGCAGCUCUGCCUCCUUUGAAGUGCUGCAUCACUAGACUGUAAUGGAAUUCUAUAGCUGACUGCUGACUUGAGGCUUUGGGGGGGAAUGGAUGGAGAAAUGGGUGGAUGGAUGGAAAGAGAAGUGAACAGAGGAAGGUGGAAAGGUAGAAAAAAUUGAUUGAAGGAAAACUGUUGGACUGUAUUUUGUGUUCAUGUGUUUGAAGUAUUGUGCCCCCUGCAUCCAUGCCUGUGUGUCCGUGUGUGUUUGAGGUUGACACCAUCGAUAGUAUAUGUGACACGUCGAGAUACAAAGGUUCCUCUUCCUCUGUUGCCUGUUUUAAAGUCCCCACCUUGCACAUGACUUCAAAAAGGCUCCCCAGGGUGAGGAUGUAAGUGCGUGCACCACCUCUUACCCUUGUUCCCGUCCCCUCUUUCAACCUGUGUUUUAGCAGGGGACAAGAGGGUACUGUAAAUUGCCUUUUGAUUCAUCCCCUUUAAUUAUGCAAAUAGACUUCAUUAUCAGCAAUGACUCUAAAGUGUUUUGGAAUGUAUUCAUUAGUCUGUGUGAGGGGCUGUGAGAACGUUCAUUUAGAGGUACUGAAGUGUGCACUAUUUAGCACGCUCUCUUUUUCAUAGAUGCAAGUAUACAACAUACUCAACAAGGUGGGCGUGGAUAUGUUUACACGCACCUGUCUCUAAUAUGUGUGCUUUGUUGUUUUUGACAGAAGCAUUCUGCCCCAGCUUCAGCAGGCUGCAACAUUACUGUUGGAUCUCCCAGUUUACAUCUUAGGUAUCAAAACAGUCCGUAAAAAGUAGGGCUGAGACGCCAUAAAAAAAUUAAUCUAAUUAAUCAGAGGCUUUGUAAUAAAUUAAUCACAAUUCAUCACAUUAAUCUAGUAAACCAGAGAGUUUGUUAAUUUUUCUGACAUGGACUUACUCAUCUUAGCUCUGAAUCCACUCAUCUGGUCGAGUGUGAGUUGGGUGUGCGUCACUGUACUCAGAGUCAGAUUAACGUUAGCUUCAAUGCUAGCUGCAACAUGUUUAGCAUUCAGGUUAUACCGGAGGCUCGAUGUGCUGCAGUGAUGUGCAAAUUCUUUUGUGCAUAGUUUGCACAAGACAUUUUUUUAUUCAGGCUUCGAUCCAUCUUUUUUUUUUUUUAAAGCAAAAAUGCCCAUCCAUGCUGGAGCCACUCAAAGCAAAUUCAUUUGCGACUUCAUUCAUUUUUCCAUGCACUGGUUGGGACUGGAACCCUGGUGCAAAAAUACAGUUGGUGCAAUUAAUAUGCGUUAAUAUUUUUAAUGCGAUAAUAUUACUGUAAUUAAUUAAUCACAAUUAAUGCAUUGAUAAAAAGCACAGACAAUUAUGAGAAUUGAUAAAAAGCAUAGACAGCAAUUUACCGUUUGUUUGUAGGAUGGGAAAGUUUUGUUUACUACCUGGCUUCCUUGCAAAGCAUUUAUGCUCUUCAACUUCUGGCUCCAAAUCUGCCGUGCAAACACAGAGUGCUUAGGCCAAUUUCAGUCUGAUUGAGCAGCCGUUACUAAGUGCUUGCAGAUUCAUGGAUUAAUGAUUGGUUUCUGUAAAUAAUACCACAAAGUGUGUUUUUCCACUGGCUUUUUAUGUAGAGUGCCAUUAGAUAGUAUUUGUGAUUUGGGGCGAUAACUUGGCAUGAAAACAGCCAAGUUGAUUUUCAGCACUCACCCACUUUCUAUGUUUAGAACCCAGCUGGGUCUUUGGAGUCGACACAACAUGAAAACUCCUCACAGUGUCUUUCAGUGUUUGGAUAAGGAGGAGUAAGAGUGACAAAUGAAUAAAUCAGACCACAUUCAUAAUCUGAAAGGCACACAAAGGUUGAUCAGUAAUUCCCAACUCAUGUCCAUCCUUUGAUAGCAUUAAGUUGGCAGUUUUUAGAUGAGCAACACUUCUGAGAAAAUAUGGAUAGCAAAAGCUAAAUAGAUGGUCUACAUCUACAAUUGAGGCUAGUUGCCUUUGUUAAGGUGCUCUUUAGUUCUUUGUUUAAACCAUCAUAAAAACAUUUUGUUUGUUAUUAGAAAUACAAUACUGCAACCUCCAAACAUACUCAUGGAUCCAGCUAAGUGCAUUUGCCUUUUUCACUUCAUAGAACUUGUGGGUGACACAUUUUUGGUGCAGACUAUGUUUAGAGCAGGAACUCUCCUGAGAGUUUUGGAUCCGGCACAAUACGCAUGCGACUGUAAUUAUGCAAAAGAGGUCAUUAACUUAAUAAACAGUGUCAGUAAACAACAGCACAAAGACACAGUUUCCCUGCUGGCUCCUUUUCUUCUCUCUCUUAUUUCUCUCUGGCUGUUGUUACCUCUCACCCCUGAAUCUCUUUUCCAUUUGAACAUAGGGGUCUUUCAGUCCUGGUCGAUGAGCAUCUGAAUGAGAGAAAAUUGUCUGAAGUUAAAGAGACGGCAACAUCCCUAUAGCAGGACAAACAGCUGAUGGCAGGACAAGGUAGUUGAAUGGGUUUAAUGAGUAGUCCAUGGCACUCUGACACAGAUCCAGUUCUGAGACUGUCAAUAUGUUGACAAAGACACACUGAGAAUAACAAUCAUCAACUGCAAUUCUCCUUAAUUACAGAGGUGACUCUUCUUUUUCUCAAGAAAUCAAGCCUAGCAUGCUCCCCUGUUCCUGCUCUGUGUGCGUGUGUGUAUGUCUGUCAGAGUGUGUGUGUUUCUAAGAGAGGAGAGAUAGUGUUGUCUGUCUUCCCCUAAUCUUCUCUUCCCAUCCUCAGCCUGCUAUCUCACCCAUGUUCUGUAAUGCUCUUAUUUAACUUGGCAUCAUCCCAUCGUCACAUCCUCAGUGCUCCACACUAAAUGUCAACAACUGAAUAUUCAUCACAACGCUGACAUCCCUCCCCUCUGUCUCUCUAAAUCUCAUCCCAGACAGAAGAUGUUUUUUUGCUCCUCUG